Molecule: unclassified non-coding RNA, 152 nt
Filed under: uncultured Dothideomycetes
Lineage: Eukaryota; Fungi; Ascomycota; Dothideomycetes
Description: sequence contains ITS2
Source: RNAcentral
ACCCCCUCAAGCUCUGCUUGGUGUUGGGCGCCUGUCCCGCCUCGUGCGCGGACUCGCCUAGAAGACAUUGGCAGCGGUCGUGCCAGCUUCUCGCGCAGCACAUUGCGCUUCUCGAGGCUUUGGCGGAUCAGCGUCCAGCAAGUCCAUCUCCA